RNAcentral lists this ribosomal RNA (265 nucleotides) under uncultured prokaryote. RNAcentral describes it as "partial 16S ribosomal RNA". It matches the Rfam family "Bacterial small subunit ribosomal RNA", at positions 524 to 788 of the family's 1533-position model. The record is from RNAcentral.
UACGUAGGUGGCGAGCGUUGUCCGGAUUUACUGGACGUAAAGGGAGCGUAGGCGGACUUUUAAGUGAGAUGUGAAAUACCCGGGCUCAACUUGGGUGCUGCAUUUCAAACUGGAAGUCUAGAGUGCAGGAGAGGAGAAUGGAAUUCCUAGUGUAGCGGUGAAAUGCGUAGAGAUUAGGAAGAACACCAGUGGCGAAGGCGAUUCUCUGGACUGUAACUGACGCUGAGGCGCGAAAGUGUGGGGAGCAAACAGGAUUAGAUACCCU